Molecule: long non-coding RNA, 294 nt
Filed under: Homo sapiens (human)
Lineage: Eukaryota; Metazoa; Chordata; Mammalia; Primates; Hominidae
Description: HSALNT0345694
Source: RNAcentral
CUUGGUUAGGCCUUCCCACUGACACCCAGUGGGACGUGAUGGCAGAGCAGUUGGUGCUUUUGUCAACAUGCUGCUUCCAGAUCUUCAGGUUACUAUUAAAAUCCCACCAAACCCUGCCACUGGCGUCCGUCGGGCUUUGUGGAUUGAUUCAGAUUUAAGGUGCGCCCCUCUAGGCCUUAGCACUGGAGGUGGAAAGAGCAGAAGAGUAAAACUUGGUCUUGGGGUCCCCAAAUUCAGAGGGAGUGACCGCAACAGAGACAGAGUCUCACUCUGUUGCCCAGGCUGGUCUUGAAC